RNAcentral lists this ribosomal RNA (577 nucleotides) under uncultured bacterium. Its description in RNAcentral is "partial 16S ribosomal RNA". It matches the Rfam family "Bacterial small subunit ribosomal RNA", at positions 355 to 925 of the family's 1533-position model. The record is from RNAcentral.
UGGGGAAUUUUGGACAAUGGGCGCAAGCCUGAUCCAGCCAUGCCGCGUGCGGGAAGAAGGCCUUCGGGUUGUAAACCGCUUUUGUCAGGGAAGAAAUCUUCUGAGUUAAUACCUCGGGAGGAUGACGGUACCUGAAGAAUAAGCACCGGCUAACUACGUGCCAGCAGCCGCGGUAAUACGUAGGGUGCAAGCGUUAAUCGGAAUUACUGGGCGUAAAGCGUGCGCAGGCGGUUUUGUAAGACAGAGGUGAAAUCCCCGGGCUCAACCUGGGAACUGCCUUUGUGACUGCAAGGCUUGAGUGCGGCAGAGGGGGAUGGAAUUCCGCGUGUAGCAGUGAAAUGCGUAGAUAUGCGGAGGAACACCGAUGGCGAAGGCAAUCCCCUGGGCCUGCACUGACGCUCAUGCACGAAAGCGUGGGGAGCAAACAGGAUUAGAUACCCUGGUAGUCCACGCCCUAAACGAUGUCAACUGGUUGUUGGGAAGGUUCCUUCUCAGUAACGUAGCUAACGCNUGAAGUUGACCGCCUGGGGAGUACGGCCGCAAGGUUGAAACUUAAAUGAAUUGACGGGGUCAUAGC